This 70-nucleotide transfer RNA is filed under the name Monocellicampa pruni. Its description in RNAcentral is "tRNA-Pro". The record is from RNAcentral. Lineage: Eukaryota; Metazoa; Arthropoda; Insecta; Hymenoptera; Tenthredinidae.
CAGAAAAUAGUUUACAUUAAAAAUAUUAAUUUUGGAGAUUAAUGAGAUAAGUUCAGGCUUUUUUUUCUGA